GGGCGGAUGGCGCAAUGGUAGCGCGGGAUUCUUAUACAAUCUUGGUUCCAGGUUCGAGUCCUGGUCCGCCCA
RNAcentral lists this transfer RNA (72 nucleotides) under bacterium. RNAcentral's name for it is "tRNA-Ile". It matches the Rfam family "tRNA". From Rfam's summary of the family: Transfer RNA (tRNA) molecules are approximately 80 nucleotides in length. Their secondary structure includes four short double-helical elements and three loops (D, anti-codon, and T loops). The record is from RNAcentral.